GGAGGCAUAGGAGGGUGGGGAAGUAGACGGCACAGUAGUAAGCUCAUGACUCUGCUCCCCAUCUCCUAUGUGAAUGGCACUGACAUCAUCAAGAAUUAGAACAGUCUCAAAUGGUGAUCCCUCUAAAAAUUGAGAUUGUUCCUCGGUGCAUUGCACGGCCAUCUGCCCCCACAACUCAUUCAAUGUAGGCUCAGAAGAAGUAGAAGAUUUGGCAGGUGCCUUUUGUUGUUUUUGUUGCCUUUGAUUUUUCUGUUAUGGCUGCCUGUUAUUGUAGAUGUUGGUAGCAUAAGCUUGAGGCUCAUCAUGAGUAACAGGGUGCUGCAAAGAAGGACAUGCAUCUGUAUAGUGGACACUAGAAGGACAUAUAGCACACAGUCGUGCAACAGAUGCAGAUGGAGAUGCUGGUCUCUGGUUGUAUGCCAGUUGUGUCACCAAACUCACAAGAGAAUCAAGCUUGCUUUCCAAUUUCUUACCAAUAGCUGAUGAAGAAUGGGCAAGCUCAUGAAAUUGCAGCUGUUAUGGUUCCUGAACAGGUGGAGAAGGCAUACAAGAAUUCGGAAAUGGUUGAAAUUGUUGUGAAGCAUCAUGCCAUCCCAAGCUAAGGUCAUUCCAUCCAGGAUCGUUACUGUGACCAUACUGAGCAGAGAAGAAUUUAUCCAAGAAAGUAUGCUUAAGAUCUUCCCAAGAAGUGAUGGAUCCUGGAGGAAGACAAUACAGCCAAUCCCUUACUGCUUCUUGUAAUGAAUGCGGAAAUGCCCUUAAAAGUAUGUCUUCAUCCAGGACAUCUGGAGGUUUCAUUAAAGAGAAUAAUGUGUAGAACUCCUCCAAAUGUCUACGUGGGCAUUCACCUGCAAAACCAUGAAACCUAGGCAGCAAAUGUAUCAGUCCAGUGUUGAAAACAC
RNAcentral lists this long non-coding RNA (902 nucleotides) under Vigna radiata. RNAcentral's name for it is "long non-coding RNA (VRAD_LNC011263)". Lineage: Eukaryota; Viridiplantae; Streptophyta; Magnoliopsida; Fabales; Fabaceae. The record is from RNAcentral.